AUCCAGCUGACCAGUCUCAAAUAGGACGGAAAGCGUGUCCUGGAU
Non-coding RNA from Schistosoma mansoni, 45 nucleotides. The record is from Rfam. NCBI's taxonomy places the organism in Eukaryota, Metazoa, Platyhelminthes, Trematoda, Strigeidida, Schistosomatidae.